AUACUGACUCUGCCUCGCGGUUUCCUGCCCAACAGCAGGAAUGAAAAGGGAACGACAGAGGGAUGGACGCUCCAUCCAAGCUGUGGCUGCCCCCGCAACUGUGAUCGGUGAGUCCGCUGCCUGACAACCACUGGCUUGGUGCCGGGAAGGCCGCAGCGGACGACGACCCGAGAGCCAGGAGACCUGCCACGGGGCGAUGUGAUUG
RNAcentral lists this non-coding RNA (205 nucleotides) under Acidovorax delafieldii. Lineage: Bacteria; Pseudomonadati; Pseudomonadota; Betaproteobacteria; Burkholderiales; Comamonadaceae. RNAcentral also lists the same sequence under 1 other name. The record is from RNAcentral.